GCUUUUGUAGUCUAAGGGGAGGACGCUUCGCUGUAAACGAGGAGGUGGCGAGUUAAAUGUCCGGAAGUU
RNAcentral lists this transfer RNA (69 nucleotides) under Pteria penguin. RNAcentral's name for it is "tRNA-Tyr". It matches the Rfam family "tRNA". From Rfam's summary of the family: Transfer RNA (tRNA) molecules are approximately 80 nucleotides in length. The record is from RNAcentral. Lineage: Eukaryota; Metazoa; Mollusca; Bivalvia; Pterioida; Pteriidae.